ACGGGGUGCAGCAGGCGCGAAAACUUUACAAUGCGAGCAAUCGUGAUAAGGGAACCCCGAGUGCCUGUAUACGCAGGCUGUUCAGAUGUCUAAACAACAUCUGGAGAAAGGGCCGGGCAAGACCGGUGCCAGCCGCCGCGGUAAUACCGGCGGCUCGAGUGGUGGCCACUAUUACUGGGCUUAAAGCGUCCGUAGCUGGGUUGUUAAGUCUCCUGGGAAAUCUGCCGGCUUAACCGUCAGGCGUUCAGGAGAUACUGGCAAUCUCGGGACCGGGGGAGGUGAGAGGUACUCCGGGGGUAGGAGUGAAAUCCUGUAAUCCUCGGGGGACCACCUGUGGCGAAGGCGUCUCACCAGAACGGCUCCGACAGUGAGGGACGAAAGCUGGGGGAGCAAACCGGAUUAGAUACCCGGGUAGUCCCAGCUGUAAACGAUGCGCGUUAGGUGUGUCGAUAACCACGAGUUAUCGAGGUGCCGAAGGGAAACUGUUAAACGCGCCGCCUGGGAAGUACGGUCGCAAGGCUGAAACUUAAAGGAAUUGGCGGGGGAGCAC
This 550-nucleotide ribosomal RNA is filed under the name uncultured archaeon. RNAcentral's name for it is "bacterial SSU rRNA". It matches the Rfam family "Archaeal small subunit ribosomal RNA", at positions 325 to 879 of the family's 1478-position model. The record is from RNAcentral.